UUUUUUUUUUUUUUUUUUUGUCAAAAAUAUUUAAAAGUUGCUUUCUAAAUUCACCCACAACAGGCUACAGCAUAAGAAAAUGGAAUUUCCAUUGAUAACUUCAGUGUCAACACAAGCACUCUCACUGUAGAGCUCUACCUCUACACAUUGCCGGAGAUGAACAAACAGGAAAAUAACUACUCCAAAGGAAAAAGAAGAACUCAUCACUUUGAUCGAUUUUUAAUUUUAAUUCGAAAUUUUGGAGCAGAACUACCUUCUGAUGCCUCCACCUUCGUCGUCACUAUUUUCGAUACACUGGAUUCGCUCGCUUUAUAUUGUACAGUUGCCAACUUAAUUCCAGAUUCAACUUUCUUAACCCCAAGCUCGACUGAUGAUGCCUUUGCAUCACCACUCAGCAGCUCUGUCAUCUCCUUUUCCUUCUGCUUCGCCUCACCGCUCAGCAGCUCUGACAUCUCCUUUUCCUUCUGCUUUGCCUCACCACUCAGUAGUUGAGCCAUCUCUUUUUCCUUCUGUUUCUUCUCCUUUUUCAACCGCUUCCGUUCCAGAUACUCUGGAUCUUCCCGCUUCCUUUUUUUCUCUUUCUCCUUCUUCUCUUUUGCUUUCCCAUGCGACUGAGGUUUUACUGCUGCCACCGUACCACCUUCAACUUCAUGUCUCAUGACUGAGAGGGUUUGAAGACUCGCAUAUUUUUGUGCAUCGACAUCUACAAUGUUGUCUUGGAUGCUGCCUCCUUGGAUGUCUUGGAUGCCACUGAACAAUGGACCCUCGUCUGACGGGGGGAGCACCGAGAUUUUGCCUGAAUCAGCAGUGCACUGGAGCUCCUUUCCCACUUCAUCACCAUCACUUGCUAGUUUGGCACUGCCAAUGCUAGCAGUCAUCUGAGAGCCACGAUCAUGACAUGAGUUGACUUCCUCAAGAUUUUGAUUGCUGAUGCUUACAGCUUCAGUGAAAUUCCUUUGUGGUGCAUCGACAGAUAUGGAACUGCUGCCACCACGAUCUAUUUCAUUAUGGCCACCUUGAGAUUUAUCAACAGUUGGAUUAUCAGCCUCCUCUGCUCUACUGGAUGCAGCAGAUUGUCUAACCCUGAUCUUGACUACUGGCAUUUUCCGUUCAUGGCUGUUGGAAACAGUAUCAGCUUCCCUAGAAGCUUCUGGAAGGGCCAAACCAUCAUGAGAGACAUUUGGGGUGUCCACGGGAGGCUCCAGGGACUUAGUCUCCUUAACGAUAGUGAUAAAACCAUUCUUCUGUUCACUACAGAUCUCUGCAGGGUCCAUUUGCGGGAUUUGAUCUCUUGGAACUCCAUAAAGUGUUGGGAGCCUGAAAAUGAUAUUUCAUCAGUUAAGAAAUCAUUGGAACAAGAUUUGUUCUUUGCACAAAAAACACACUAAAUCCCUUGUCGGUUGCAGUAGAGGAGAAAAGAAAAACAGGGAUAUUACAGCCAUUCCAACCCCAAAUAGUUGCUAGAAUUCAAAUUUUCAUUUCUAUUCCUAUUGACCAACCAGAGUGUAACCAGAAAUUUUGAGUCUAACACCAACAAUCCUCCAAUAUAUAAGCAACGCAUGUUAAGAACCUGUAUUUUCAUACUAUAUAUGGAAGGAGAGUGAGUGACUUUUUUCUUUCUUGGAUAAGGAAAAAGGGAUAUUGAAUAUACUGAAAACACUCUUCAAAAACAAGACUGAAUAACCAUUGAUACAGAAGCAUCAGCAUGCAAAACUUUCAGGAACAUUGAUACAGAUAACGGAAAGUUGGUUCUAUAUAAUGCACUAUUUCUGUCCAGUACAGUCCAUGGACAUGAAAAUGGAGGAAUGCCAAAUUUCAAGUUAGUCACAAAAUAAACAUCAUAACAAAUCUAAAGGGGGUUUAAGAUGCAAAAAUGACAAGUAAAUUCACACUAAGAAUUUCAGCUUGCUGUGAGUUGGAGGUGCUAAGUGAAGCAGAACAGCAAAAAGGAUCUAAGCUAUACUGACUCCAAGCAGUUGGUACUCAGGAGAGUUCUUGAUAGGCAAACAUAACAGUAUAAAGGGUGAGAAUAAUUAAGAGUUUCACAACUAACCAUCUCCUCAAGAACUACCACUCAAUUCUGUUAUAAUUUUAAAUAAAAUAUUACCUAAGUGAGUCUAAUGAACUAGAUUUGUACAAGCACCGGCAGCUGAUGAUUCUCUUUUUUUCAAUUGGCACCAAAAAUAUUUUUUUUGAUAAAUAAAUAAUUAAAUUAAAUUAAAGAAAAGAGGCAUUAGAAAACAACCCCAAGUAUACAAGAUAACAAACCUCCCUUCACCACCAAGGCUCAACCACAAGAAAACAGAGAAUUUUAACAGAUUCAACCAGUACCCAACCAUUCAAAAAAUUCAACUAAAGUCAAUGGGCACUCAUUGACAAACAACUUAGCCUCAGACCACAGAAAACAAACAAACUCCCUUUUCAGCUUUUGAAUAGAAAAAAUCUCAUUACAGAAAGCAAUAUUGUUCCUGGUCUUCCACACCAUCCAAAACAAACACAAAGGGAUUGCUUGCCAAACCUCCCUUCACUUCUUACCUAUAAAAGAACCAUUCCAACCCAACAAAGUAUCUUUGACUGAUGAAGAAAGCACCCAAGACACCCUAAAAAGAACAAAAAUUAACUCUCAUAAAACCCAUGUCAUUUCACAAUGGAGCAACAAAUGAUCAAUAGAUUCUUCAUGUCGAAGACACAAAAAACAUCGAUUUGUUAAAGACCAACCUCAUCUUUGCAGUUGAUCCAAGAUUAAAACUUUACCCCACACUGCCUCCCAUGCAAAAAAAACUAACUUUUGGCUAGACCCACUAAAUCCGAUUAAAAAAAUAAAAUAAAAUAAAAAAUGGAAAAGCUCCACCGAAGUUUGGUUCCAAAACAUAAUAAAGGAACUUAACUGUAAACUUGCCACUUUUUGUCAAUGACCAUAACAAAAAAUCUUCCACAUUCUAACAAACUCAUUGCCCCUGCAAACAAGCCAGAAAGCUCGCCACACAAUUCACCUCCCAAUCAUUAAAAGAUCUAGAGAAACAAAGAUUUCAGCCCUUACCCCCCUUUCAGCGGAAGAAUUCCAAAUAUCCGUCACCCAUGCAUCCUUAGAGAUCGACAAACCAAAAAGUUAAGGAAACAACACACAAAAAGUUAUCCCUGCACCACCUAUCCUUCCAAAAAAGUUCCCUCUACCCAUUACCCACCACAAAGAGACACCUAGAUCACACUAAAUCUCAAUCCUUCCUUAUUACUUUCCACAACCCCAUACCCCUCAUUGACCUCUUGAGUUGCCCACCCCCCGCUUACUUCCUCAUACUUACCACGAAUAACCUAGUUCCAAAAGGCCCCUCUCUCAACCGCAAAACACCACCUCCACUUGCAAAGAAGUGCCUUAUUCACCCUCUAACAGACCACAACAAACACCAGCUUCCAUGGAGGUCGCAACAGAUCUGUUACAAGACCCAGCAGCAACAACCAUCUCCCUACCCCAAGUUUCUGCACCAGAACAUGAUAAAUCCUCCACCAUUUUCUGCGACUCCAGCGAAGACAGUGAAACACGGCCAUUGGCGCGUGAUCUUUCACCACCGCCACCCCUAACCUCCACAGCCUCACCGCCAUUGCCUUUGGAAGACGGCACCACCUCAGACACCCAUGGCAGCACCUCCCACCACAACUGGAGUGCAAAACAAGAAUCACCAACAACCAACUGCAAAGAGCCAGGCAGUCCCUACCAACUGAUUUCACCAAAACCCUUGCCCACUGCAACUGUGUAAAGCCAGUAGUAGCCUCAUUCACAGAGAUGAAGCCUCCACAUCAAUCUCCAAUUUUCCGAAGCACCUCCCUGCUCCAAAAAUGAAGAGGAAGACCCACCACCCUUACCCAUACCACCUUCGGACACCCUCCAAACCGAAAACAGCCCACGUCAGGUCUCUCAAUGUUCCCAAAAAUAAAAACUUUCCUCUGAAACAUCAAACACCUCUGUGCAACACCUGGUCCGCUUCUAACUUGUUCUCAAACUCGAACAGAAGAAAGGCUCCACCUAACUUCGCAAUCUGGAGCCCACCCCGCAAAUACCACGACUCAAUACCCCAAGUCCUCAAUGCAUCCAAAUCAGGGAAUGAACCAUCACCCUUGCCCCAACGACCAACCAAACACUGCUCCAGCUGCUCCUCUCGAUGCCUCAAAUCCUGCCCUCCAAGCUGGACCCAAAUUGAAUCCCCUAACUUACCACUCUUCUCCUUAACAAUAUCAGCAAAAGACCUCGAAAUAACGAGGAGGCUCUUUGCCACAAAGGAAAGGGUGCCAGUUGCUAUGGAAUCUCCUGCUAGCCUUGUCAAAGAUUUUUUGUUCAAUCAAACUAUGUUGGAAAGAAGGGCAUAAGAUGUACUAGUUGAAUCAGCCCUCUGACUGUUCUCCUAACCGGUGUCAAAGUAAGCUCCUUUUUCCUACCCGCUUACUGCUCGAGUAGGAGUUCAUUGCAACUUCUCAGCCAAAAUGACCCACCCCCCUGCAAACCCUUUACCCUCAGGGAAAACCAGACAAAUCUUCUUCCCCACAUGAUUGAGAACAUAACACAAAAGGAACCUACCCACCUCAUUAGAAUGCUGGUCCAGCCGAAACUUCCUGCCCCCUUCCUCCCAACUUUUACCAAAACUCUGCAAACCAGCGUCCCAACAACAAGCCUCCACUCCUUCCAAUAGACAACGAAGACUGAAGCCCCACAACCGAAUAUAUAUAUAGCUGAUGAAUUUUUUGAUUGGAAAAAGUGAUUAUAUUAAUAAAGCACCUUGAAAAGAGGGUAGCCAAGCACAUCCGAAGUAUUUAGAAGGCACCAGAAGGAAAGGACCAACAGCUGAUGAUAGAACCUUAAUUUACUAAACCUAGCUUUUUCUUUCGUUCCUUUUUUUUUUUUUCCUUUUUUCUGGUACUCUCAUUCUAAAUUAUUUUUGAGAAGUGGUAUGCCAUGUUUGCAUAGCACCAGCAAUGUCAGUCGGACGUCAAACUUAUAGCAAAACUUGUGAAUAUAUAUUGGGGGCAUGCCUAGCUGUGACUGCACAUUACCAAACAAAUCUAAAUCAUGCCCAUGUUGAAGGCAACCAAAGCUCCCUUUAGAUGCGUUACUCUUAGAUUGGCAUUUACCAAGAGGCAUUUCCAAUGAGCAUCAAUUUUAUAUGCAUGUUCGUGGACUUAGAUUCAGAUGUCUCUGCAGAUAUCAAGUUGAGCUUGUUAAUGCUGGAUUGGAAUUAUAUUCGUAAAUGUUAAGCAGUGAGAUUUGUCCUAAGUGGUUUCCACCUCCUAUAGUCUCUAUAAAGUUCAAUUUUGAUGGAUGUUCCUUAGGUAAUCCAAGACAACUUGUGAUUGGAGAAAAGUUUUUAAAGAUACAGGCAGGAGAGGAUAUGGCUAUUGAGGAAAAAAAUUCUUGUUCUUCUAGAACAUCAAAGCUUUGAGAUUUUCAGAUUUAUUAGUGAAGGGUGACCCCGCUAUUCUCAUUUCGUGUGUAUCCAAGAGGUAAAGAGGUCUAAUAAAGUAUGAUGAGUGGGUCCAGAAAAUUAUUUGAUCUUGUGACUGACUUAAAAUCUUCUUCAUUCUAUUCUCCACAUUCCAAAUCAAGAAACAGGUCAUUUAGUCAAGCAAUGGGCUAGACAUUUGAUAUCCUUUCAAGAGACCCUUUACUCCCUUGAGAUGUGUAGUUCUCUUUGAUUGUACAUUAUUUUUGUUUCCUUUAUAAAAUUUAUGACUUUUUUUUUUGGGAGGAAUAGGCAUACUUUUCUUUUUUUAUCAGGUGUUUUUUUUUUUUGUAAAUCUUGGAAGGAUCUCUCAUCAUUCAUUAUAUUUAUGAAGUUCAAUGUAAUGACGUAUCUUAUUUCUAACUGCCCACCCGGCCACCCACAAAACCCCAACCCCAACCCCAACCCAUUUAAAGAAAAGGUACAUUCAUUUAAGGUUUGAAUAUCCUCAUGUUCUUAUAUAUAUAUAUACCAACAGAAACUCUAUAAACAUAAAAUCAUCUUGCCAAACUUUAUGUUGCAUGGUAAAAUAUAAAGCAAUUGUUUUCUACAAAACAAUUUUUUUUUCUUUUUUUAAUUAUUAUUAUUAUUAUUAUUUUGUGCCAUGAAAAGCUCAUGCCAAAGUGAUUUAGAUGCUUCUGUGGCAUUUCAAGUUCACAUGGGCAAUAAAUUCCAUUAAAUCAUAGCAAACCAAACAGCUCUACCAAAUAACUCUUCCCUUCUUAAAUAUUUGAAACCUAAAAGUUUUGUCACUUGUAAGAUUAACUAGACUGUGGAUGGGUUAGUUUUCUUUCACCAUUGCCAAGCUCAAAAAAUAUAUUUUCCCAUAGUUUUCAAGGUACCCAUAGAUAUCAUACCCCUUUAAUUUCUAUUGAGGUUCAGUAAAGACCAAAUUUGCUGAAGUUUAGUUUUGAGAUAGAAACAUAUAAAGACUAUCUGUAAUUAGAUUCAGAAAUCUUCUGGUGAAUCCACUACAGAUUAUUUUUAUUUUUUAAGAAAAACCAUACCAGAAUUAUAAAAACCAUUAUGAGUUAUAUACUAAAGUACUAUAAAAAAAUAUGAAUUAUAUACUAGAACGUAGUGAGGCACUUUUGCAUAUAGAAGUAAUGGGUUAUAUACUAGUCCUAUAUGAGACACCUUUGACGUAUAAUUUCCUUUGGUGUAUAGGUAUAAGUGAGUUCCAAAGCAAAUAACAAACAAGUCUUCAUAAAAAGGUGUACAUAUAAACACAUGAUGAAGGAAUGUUCAUGAAAAAACAUGCUCAUUGAAUAGCAUAAACUAUCACCACAUUAACUGAAAAUCGGCCAUUGUAUAUUGAGAGAAGCUCAAGCAAGCAGAUGUACCAUCACCACAUUGAUUACCUAAACAAAAUAGAGCUAUUAUUUAUCGGCUAAUCUUUAUUUUUCUCUUAAUAGAAAACAUAAAUUGUGCGCACCUUCCAGCAAGGAUUCGUAAAAUGCAGAACAAGUGGUGCCGAAGGAAGACAUUGUUGAAUGCUAUACGGCUUUCAAGUAGACGAAGCAAUGCCACAAGAGUUGAACUCUUUAUGUCAUUGUCAGAUUCAGAUCCACCUUUUAUCUGACAUAACCGCAUGGCAUGCACUCCAAGCUUUACUUGUCCUGCAAGGAUUGUCAAAUUGGUGUCAUACACAUGCAUAUUGUGUGAUAAAGACAGCAUGAAAAAUAAAAGCCCUAAAAAAGAAGGUUCUUCCCCUAAAAGAGAAGGCUCCUCCCCUAAAAAGUAAGUUAAAAACCUCUUAUGGAUGGUUCUUCCUCUACAUAUUUAAUGAAUAAGGAUAAUGCUGCAUCAAUGCCCUUGAAAUGGAAUUCUAGACCUAGGAGUGCUCUGCUUGCUUCAAUUCGGACUUGCCAUAUUGCCUGGAAGUCCCGAAAUGGUUUAACAAGUUCAAUGACACGAUCCUGCCGCAAGUACCAAACACAACUUAAGAAUGACAAUAAGCCCAAGAACAGUCCAUUAUUGGACAAGAAAUAAUUGCAAAAACAUUGGAAAAUAAAUUUUAGAAAAGGGAUAUGAAAGACCACAAACACACUUACAAGAGGGAUAAAUCCAGAAAGCUUCAACCCAAUCUGUGUCAAGGUUCGGAUGCAGCUGAUUGUCAAUAUCCCAUUGUAACUUGGCAUCAGCCUGACACAUGCCAUUUCCAGGUACAUGCAAUCAAUUACAAGUAUUGUUUAAUAAAAUUCAUCAUAACCAGUUCUUAACAAGUGAAUGCACCUGUCAAAUUGCAAAAGCCGAUCGAUGCGCUUGAGAAGAGAUGAUAAAAAGAGAAUACUCUGCCACAGGAUUAAAGGAACAAAAAAGGUAAGCCUCAAAAAUAAGAUAUAAGAAGAUGCAAAAAGAUAUACCUUGUGUGUACAUAUCAACUUUCAUACGGUUAAAGAACAGAAAAAUAUAGAUACCAUGAAGUUUGAACAUACUUGGUUAUUUUGAAGGCACAACCUUUGGUGUUUAACUAAAACAAACUCCUUGAGUAAACCUAAGACUAGACAAAAACCAAAAUUCUAAACCUUUCCAACAAUACUUAACUCAAAUUUCAGAAAAUGGCAACAUUUCCUCUUUGACUUAUUCUAAAACUGAAACCCAAGCUUAAAUUCUUGAUCUAAUAUAAUAUUAAGAUGGGUCCUAAUGUACAAAUGUGAAUUAUUUAUUUAAAAAAGAAGAAGAGGAAGAAGAAGAAGAAGAAGAAACAUCUUGAUCAAACAGCAGUUCAAUUCAAUGCUUUUAUCAGACUGUUCCAAUAUCUUAUUUUGAGCAGGAUUAGAUCCAGCAAGGCAGUCUACAGCAGAAAAUUCUGCACACCACCACCAUCUAUUGUAAUUUUUUCCUGAUAGUAGAUCACAUGCAUGAGACCCAGCAGGUCAUGAUAAAGGAAUCGUUAUAGUGAUAUGUAAACCCCAGUCAACAAUUGCAUGUUGCUUAGGAAUUGCACUCUAAAAUAGUAUAUAUAUUGUAUAGUCAUAAAAAAGACCUGCAUGAGAACCUACCAAACAUCAUGUGAUGCUCAAAUGUAUUUUGAUUUAACUCUAGUUGGUUCCCUCACCAUUUUUAUACAUCACCAUAUGUGCUCCAUGCCCCCUUAGUCAUAUCCAGGUACCAAUGAUGAGUGGAUUGAUAAGAGUUCAAGAUAUCAGGGAAUCAAAGGCAAGAAAGAGGAACCAUUAAAAGUUACAAUAAAAUAAUAAAAAAUAAAAAAUCAAGGGUUGAAUCUCUUGAGUUGGCUGAGCUUAUACUAAUGAUGUUAUGAUAACAAGUGAUCUUGAGAGUUAGCUGAGCUUAUACUAAUGCUGUUAUGAUAACAACUGAUUUUGACUGUUAAUCCAUCAGUCUAUAAAAGAAUUUUCUUUUUCUUUUUUUUGAUAGGUAAAUUUUUGUCCCCAUUGAGAUGUGAACCUAGAACCUCCCACAAACCCUUCCCAUCUUUUUCCCACUUGAGCUAGGCCUCAAGGGCGGUCUAUAAAAGAAUUUUAACACAAACCUGGUCAAAAUCAGUGGGUACUAUCUGGUUUCCCCAAAAUCCUAGUGAAGUUCAGCUUUCUUCAAAUCCUCCUGUUAGGUGGUGGCACACACAACAUGGAAAAUGCUCACUAUCUCAUCCUUUGCUUCUCAAUACGUUCCUAUUCCAUAUGUUACAUGUUCCAUUCCUUUUUUUUUCUUUUUCUUUUUUUCUGGUUCAAUAGCCACAACAUGGAAAGGAAGCUCCCCAAUACAGGUCACAAUUCAAACCUACAUCUUAUACAGUUGAACCUGAAGUGUCAGAAUGAUAACAGCUCAGCAGGAACCCUGUGGAGAUCCAAAUUUUAAUUGUAUGUCCUAAUAUUAACUCCAAUUGGAUAUAAAUAAUCAUCAAACAUAAAAACCUAAAGUGUCAGAAUGAUAACAGCUAAGCAGGAACCCUGUUUGGCUAAUUUUGUUCAAAGACCUUAUGGUUCAAAAUAGAGUUUAAUAUGAAAGUUGGGAAAAUGUUGUUUCUUGCAGAAGUUUUAUUUUAACUUAUGUAAGAAGUUCUUUCAUGUUUAACAAAACUUUUACAACACCAAUAUGACCCUUUAAAAUUCGUGGCUUUGACUUCAGCUUUCAACUAAAGCAAGAAAUAGGAAACUAUUCCAAAUGGGCUCUAUAUAUUAAAAAUGAAACAAUUAUUUUAGUUGUUUCAUGAAUUUUGAAAAAUAUAAUUCAAACACACUUUCAGAAACAAGGUCACUCUAUUAGGAGAUACAGCAUGGUGACACAGGACAACUAGUCCCAAAGAAAAUAGCCAAGUCAACUAGUUUUAAAAUAAUAUUUAAAUUACCUAGGAAACUUGAGACUUGUAGUACUUGGUUACUUGUGGUAGAUAGAGUUUUCAUUUCCUAAGAGUUGGAAGUUGUGAAGACAUUGAAGGGUUAUUGGGAUAAAUAGGAGGGAAAAUGAUGGAAAAAAGGGUCUUUUUUCUUUUGUUCUGAAUUUUCAGUCAAUGGAAAUCUCUUCUUGAGAGUUUCUCUGGUGGAUUCCAGACUUCCUUGCGUUAGACGUGUUCUAUCCUCCUUUCUUUCUUGCUUUUUGCUGCGUCACAUGGCCAAAGAAAUAUCCUAUAACGAAAAUAUUGAUGAUAUGUUAAUUGUAAUGGAUCACAUGAGUGUGGAUGAGGUGCUUGUCUACGCUCAGAAUGAGAAUAGCAACUAUAAAUCCAAAUUAUUCUUCAUUCCCUUCUUGAACUUCAUUGACAAUGAACAUGAAAAAGGUUAAGGAGUAUCUUUGUAUUACUGCCAAUAGAAAUCCAAAUGAUUGUCCAUGCUUAGAUGGCAUCUUUGUAAAAUCUCCAACAGUAUACCAAAGGUGUCUUUAGAGUAUGCCAAGCUAUCCUUCUUCUGACAGCCUUACCAUUAUGGCCUUGUAUAACAGGGUGCACUUAUGCAACCCAAACACGACAGCCUUUUUUGACAGGCAUAUAAAAAGGUACACUAAUAAAGCACCUAAUAAAAAUAGGCACAACCCAAACAUGACAGCCAUAGUACAUAAAACAUUCAGCCAAUAGAAUUUAAAACAGGUGGCAGCACAACAGGGAAACAAAUGAGCAAGUAAUAAUUGAGAGAAAUCAUCACCCAAUAAGCAAGACAUUGGAGCAUGUAGUCAUAAAAAUCCAUGAGACAGAUAAUAUUUUCAUACCUGUUGCCCAAAUUCAAGUUCCCCAACUGACUGCACUAGUGCAGCAAGCCAGAAUACAUCAGAGUAAGGAUUCCCAUUAUUAUCGUUAUACUGUGGGGCAAUUACAAAAAAGCAGAAAUGAAAACCAAAAAGAAAAAAAAAUUCACGUGAGCCACUGAUAAUGAGAACAUAAAUGGAUAGGAACAAAAGAAAAUAAAUAAAUAAAUGAAUGGUGGCAGAAAAUAAAAAUAAACACCCAUUCACAUGCCAAAAGCAAGAGAGUUACACUUCUUUUUUUUUUUUUUUGAUUGGAUAAGCAAGAGAGUUACACUAGAAAUGCAUAGUUAGUUAUUAACAGGAGGUUGACAUCCUCAAGUGCUCAUAUGGAUGUCCAAAAUAACAAAAAAUCCAACUAGUAUAUUUCAUGGUAACAUGGACCUUAGAAACAAAUAUAUAGUAAUUGGUACCAUGUGAAAUAGAUGGAAAACAGCAGAUUCUCUUGAGUUUUCAGUGCAGAAUACCAUUUUUUAUGAGGAAUAGCACCAGGAAUCUCCCCAUUUGCAGUCCAAUACCUUGCCACCCAAGCUAGGCCACUCUAGGUGUUGUGUUUGCCCAAUCACAAAAACCCAGAGCACAGGAACACAGCAGAAUAAGAAGCAUUUCCGAAUUUCUUCCUUUAUACUUACAACAGGAGAGUUUUCAGUUUUUGGAUGUGGAGCAUCAGAUCAUUAGUCUUUUGUACUUUGUAUUCUUCAAUUUAAAAUAUUCAUGAUAGGAAUUUUAACAUCAUGAUCACACAUGUAACAAAUCAAGAACAAUAUGUAACAAGGUUGCUGUGUAAAGAGGAAGCGGAGGAGGAGGAAAGGAGGAAAAGGGAAGGAGGGGGAGUGGAGUUGUGGUUUGGUUCAGGUCAGGAUUUUAGAAGGGGAAGGCACCAGUGGGCAAAGAUCUCAGAGCAUAUGCAGUAACAUAGGACAUGAGCAGAGAUUAAUGUCUCGGCAUAAAAUCCUGAAAUCUCCCUUUCAAAGGGGUUUUACUACAGCAUCUUUUAUGCCAAGACAAUUUUUUUUAUAAGAAAAAAGAAAAAAAAUGUCUUGGCAUAAAAGAUGCUGUAGUAAAACCCCUUUGAAAGCGAGAUUUCAGGAUUUUUGUUUAGAAUUUCUGGAAACAAAGAAGCUGAGGUCACAGGAAUGUGCAGAUAUUAAUGACUUGGCAGCAUUUGCAGUGCAGCAAGACCCCUCUGAAAGUGAGAUAUCGAGAUUUGUUUAGAAUUUCCAGAAAUAUAGAAGCUAAGGUAACAUGGGUUGAGGAGAGAGCAGAUAAGAGAAGGUUAAAUAUGACAAAGACAACUUUUAGUCAAAUCAUCACCAAGCAAAUGAUGAAUAAGGAGAAAAUGGUACUCUAUGGCUUCUACAAAAUAGGCAUUCUCCAUCUAGAGAUCUAGGUACCAGAAACAAAGGCUCAUUAGGGACUCCAAGACUAGGAGAAAGAAGAAGCACAUUUGAUGCCAUAUUAGAGUGGAGGUGAAUAUAAAAAGAGAAGACAUGACAAGGUUGAAGAUAACUUGAAAAAAAUUUUAGUUGAAUCUUCAUUAUGGUGAUGUUGAAUAAAGGAGUCUGGGGCUCAAUGGCUCCUAUUGAAGGAAGUGUUCUAUGUCUGGGUGGUGGCCUGGGGAAGGAUUUUGACCACUGAUCAGUUGAACAGUAAAGAUAAUCCUCCAGAACUGGUGGCCCAUGUUCAGAAGGGAUGUGGUAAGUUUCAACCACCUAAUACUGCACCAUCCUUCCUAUAAAAAAAAAAUACUGCACCAUCCUGAGGCUUAGAAGCCAUGUUUGAUGUUUUGUGCUAUUUGAAGAUAUCGUGAAUGGUCCGAGAGGACUUUUCAAGUUGGCAUGUAAGUUCUACAAAAAGAACAGGAGGAAACUGCUGAGAAUAGUUCCCCCCAAUAUCUGGCAUGCUGUUAAUGGAAAGAACAAGAGCAUGUUUGUUACACAGAAUGGUUAUUCCUGACGGAAUAGGAAUAGGAAUAGCUAUUUCUAACAAUAAAUAUGCUGGAAAGGAAUACCUAUUCCUAUUCAUGUGUUUGGUUAUGACACUGGAUUAAACUUAGUCUUGAUACAGUUUUGUUUCUUUUUUCAUUUCUUUGAAAUUUAUCAUCAUUAGGAGAUUUUUAGAAGAAUUCAUUUAAUAGAAGUCUAGUGAAGCACACCCAACAAAACCUGGUUUAUGGUCCAUUAUAAUUUUAUAUAAAUUAAAGAUAUAAAAUUUUAAAAAGAUUAUCACUACCAACGUUAUCAACUUCUUGGUGGGACAAUUUAGUUUGUAACUACUAUCAAACACGUCUUAAUUAAUCAAAUUAAUUUAAUAAAAUAAAGUUAACAUUCGGACUUUAACGGGUCUAUAAAACAUUAUAAAAUUAAAAACUAAAACGCCAGAAUUCUUAGGAAUCCCAAAGCCCAUAAAACUAUGUAUAGAUGGAAUAGCUAUUCCUUGAAAUUAACGAAUAGAUAUUUCUUAAAUUCUAAAAGGGGAUAGUUACUCCUUAAAAUUGAGGAAUAGCUAUGCUCUAAAAUAGAACAGAUACCAAAGAGUGAAAUAACUAAUCCCAUGGAAUAGCUAUUCUACUUCUUGACCUACAUGGCAUAAGUGUUUGAAGGGGUAGAACCUCAGACCGAAAGCUGAAGGAGAUUGUCUUGUAAUUGCUAUAUGUGUGGAUGGUCGUAUCUAGCAUGGACAGGAAAAAUUCCUCUUGGGAUUUUAUUUAGGGUUUGGAGCAUCUUAAGGGUCUGUAGUUCCUUCUAGUUUUUCUUUAUUCAUUUUAGGUUGUUAUGUAGGCAUGUACUUGGGUUGUUGCCAAUUUGGCAAUUUCUUAAUGAAUUUAUUUGCCCGUGACAAAAGGCACAACAAGACUUCUCUUUUAUUUUCAAGAAGUAAAUUAAAAGACUAAAUGCUUUGCCAAAUUUAGAAUUUAUUUUAUUAAAUGGAAAAUAAAGGUGAAAAAUAAAUAAAUAAUCAUGAGUAGAAGAAACAUGAGUUUUGGAAAUUGUUUAGGCUAGUGGAAUCUAAAGUGAAAAUGACUACCUUCAGAAGUUGUAAAACAAACUCAACAGCUUCUCUUGGGCUUUUCUUAUCUGCGGCUCUAACCAUAGCUAUUGCAUGCGGAAUGGCCUGAAAGAAAAACAAUAAAACUAAAAUGGUUUUAAAAAAUGCUAUAAGAAUAAUGAAGUAUUUCUUUUAAACUAAUCGUGAAAGGAAAAAAGAAAAAAAAAAAAGUUGGAAGAAACUUAGAAAUAUAUAAGAGAGCAAGUGCAUACAUUGACAUAGUUAUUAUGCAACUCAAAAAUUACUUUUUUAGCUUAACAUCAGUUUCCUUUGCUUGCUCACACGAAGUAAAAAUCAAUUAUAUUAACAGCCCUCACAAAAAGGUGCACAAAGGCAUAUGCAGUAGAUACAAGGAUGCCAAAAGGCCAAAACAAGAUAAAGGGAUACACAAAAAAUGACACCCUCGCCUUAGUUAAAGCUUAGUCUCACUCAACAAUGUCCAUUAUGAAGAAAGAGUUGUCUCCUAUGUACACUCUAACCAACUCCAAAAAGUUAUAAAAGGAUUGUUUGAUUUCUCGAUCCACUUUUUCAGAAUUAUCAAAGCUCUCUUAUUUUUCUCCCCCCAUAUGGUCCAAAAUAAGCACAAAUAACCUACACUUCAAGAGUUCAUGCUCUUCUUCCCAACAAAAAUCCAUGUCAGGUCAAAAGGGCAUCUCUCAAUGAGGAAUGCAUCACUUGAUCUAUUCCAAAUAAAGCAUAAAUGACUUUCCACAAGAUGACUACUUUUGAGCAUAUGCAGUAAAGGAAUACAGUGAAGGAAGAUGUGAUCAAAUGUUUUUUCUUCUGCUUUCCACAAAUAGUUAUUUAAGUAUUCACUUAUUCCUCCCUAGAAAUCCUUGCAAAUGCAAAGUUAAUUCACCACCCUCACUCCCUCUAUGAGUAUGUGAUGAUUAAAUCAUGGAAUGCAACAUAGUUUUUUUUUUUUUUUUCCUUUUUUAAUAUAGGCAAACAUAGCGCUGGAUAUAGGAAGUAUACAAAAAGCUUCUUGCUAAGAAUAGAGCAAACAAAGAAGUAACAGAAUAGUCCUAGCUGAUAACAUCAAAAAAUUCCAACAAAGAGCAAGACUCCAACCCUGUAGGAGCUUUAGACCACUCUCAAUGGCUCGAUAAAGAACUCUUUCAAUCUCUGAUAUGGUAGAUAAUCAUCUUUAAACAAACUCCCAUUCCUCUCUUUCCACAAGCACCAAAACAAGCAAAUCAGAGCAAAUCUUCACACCUUUUUCCUUCUUUUUCUCUAAGCUUUUCACCUGCCACUUAGAAGGAGAUCUUUAACUUUCCUAGUAAAAGCCCACUGAAACCUAAGGAUCAUGAAUAACAGAUCCCAUACCAACCUAGUUUUCUCACAAUAAAUAAAAAUGUUAUUUGAUGACUCUUCUUGGGUGCAUUAGAGCCCCACAUCUCUUUUUCAAGAAAGGCAUUCACUCUUGCAGUGUACAAAAAAUUGUAACAAGACUUAAUAAAAAAUGUCCCUCCUUGACUCCCCUCAAACCAUCUUGCCCACUACCAUCCCUAGCACUCCCAUGGAAUGAAUGUCAGCCCUUUUCAAGCAAAAAACAUGGGUUUGAGCAACCUCUUGCCUAUAUUUCCUACUAGCAAAGGGGAGGUUGGCCGCAGAUCUUAAGCAGGCCGAUCACAGAUCAAGUUUUUAUCCAAGAGGCUAGGAAGAAUAUGAAUCUUGCAAGAGGUGCCAUCCCUCCAUAAAACAACCCAUCAUCUCCAGCUCUCAAUCUUGAAAUGGCCUACAAAAACAGUGGUUCUAAUGACCUUUAUCGAAUCCACUACCCAUACAUCUGCCACUCUUGCAUUCUUGGCCACUGCAAUACUAUUAAGAGGUAGAAAAGCUUCCUCUAGGGGAGCACUCCCUAUCCAUGUAUCCAAUCAAAACCUUGUUCUAAAUCCACAAUCCAUCAAGAUAGAACCCUUGUUCUUCAACUCCUGCCAUCACCUUCUAAUGGCUUUCCAUAGACCCAGCCCAAAAGCCCCAUUUGCCUCCUGAGCACUCCAACCCCCAUCUAACUCCCCAAACAUGCCCCUAAUGAUCCUCCUCCACAUUUUAUCUAUCUCAUUCGCCAAAUCUCCACAAUAAAUCAGCAACCAAUACCCAAUUUAAAGUAAAGAGCCUUUCAAUUUCCAAAUCUGCAUCCUUUUUACCCAAACACACGGUUAACCACCUCACAAGAUGAAGAGCUUUCUCCCCUCUGCUUGAUUCCCCUGAAAGCAGUUAGACUAAAUCUUCUCCAAUCUGCUUAUGACCGCCCACAGAAUGACCAUCAGUGACAUGGAAAAACGAAAAAAAGAAGGCAAGCUCAAAGGCAUACUUUUAAUGUGUUAAUCUACCUCCCUUGGCAAAUAUUGACUCUUCCAAGAAGCCAACCUCUUCUUAAAAGGCUCCUCCACUAGACCCAUCCUGAGAAGGAUUUAAAGGAAGCGGCCCAAAGGCAGCCCUAGAUAUGUAGAAGGAAAGUUGCCACCUUAGAACCAAGCGACAAAGUUAAUCUUUCCACCCCUUUCACAUACCACCACCCAGAUAAAUUAAUUUUCAAUUCUGACACUAGCUCAAAGCAAGUCAGAACCCACCUAAUAUAUCUCAGCUGCUCUGCACAAGCCUCACAAAAUAGCAUGGCAUCAUCUGUGAAAGAAAAUCAGUCACCUCUUCCCCUACCACUAGCCCUGAAGCCACUAAUAAGCCCCUCUUAAUACUGCCCUCAAAAUGGGUUUAGAAACAUAAAAACCCAAUGGGUUUCCUUUUUAGCUUUGAAACCUGUGUUCCAGACAAAGGAUCCUUCAUGUGCACACCAGCCACAGGAUCAUUCAGUUUUGACCAACACGGAACCUUAACGGCACCUAUAGUGGCAUAACAUGUCCAAAUGGAUGCAAAAAAACAACCAAAAUGAUCCCAAUAUGCAUUGGAUAUCUUUUUGAAUAGGAGAAUGGGUUGUUUAGGUAUGUUUGAAAACUCUUCUUGAAAACAAUUUUUUUAUUUUUUUUUUGAUAGGAAACGACAAAGGAAUAUAUUAAUAGAAAAAAGAAGUACAAGAGAAGGAUGAGGAAUCCUCCCACCAAAGAAAACUAGUCUACAAGAAACCGAAAACAAGAAAAUACACUGUAAUAACGAACAACUUCUCAAGGCUAAACCAACCCAUCGGAAUUACACGCCGCUAACCAAUCAAGUUGUAACACAAUAAGGAGGGUUCCCUUAAAAACCUUGGAACAAAAAGCCCAAAGAGAAGCAAGGAAAAAAAUAGAAUCCCAAAGAUUGGUAAAUUUUCUAACUUAGAAAAAAGCUUGGUAAAUUUUUAACAGAAAACAGUUUUUUGAGAAUUAAUCUUAAAAAUAGAUAGUUUUUUAAAACAAAUCUACAGUCUUUUCAGGUAUAUUUGUGAAGUAUUCUAAGAAACAAUUGAAAUUUUGGAGAAUACUUUGGGAACUUUUAUACUGCAUAUAAAUGCACAGUUCCUCCAUGAAGAAUAAGCUGAGAAAAUUGUUUAUCUUAUUGAAAUUCCCAAACCGAAUUUUGUUUCUGAAAACAAUUGAGAACUACUCUCAAAAAAUAUUUUUUAAAAAAUGUUUUCGAAAAUGUUGCCAAACAGGCCAUUAAUAUCCCUUUCUCAUCCUCAUUCUCAUUCAAAUUUCACAUUAUGAACUCAUUCUAGGCAAAUCAAAUGGAAGAGUUGAUCUUUAGCAAAUAUAAAUACCCAUUUGAUCAAGGUACUACCAAGGAACGUCUAUCAAAGUUUUAACUUUACUGAACCUACUAGAGGAGGAGACCAACCAGUCACAACUUUCUUCCUCAAACUGUUUGAGAAGCAAGCACUUUUCCAAUUCAACAUUAAAAGAAACAAAGAAACAUCUACAAAAAGGUUUGGUGAUUUGAGGCCCAAAGGGAAGAGAAAAAUGUAAAUCAAAUCCCAAAUGGCAUCCACAGAUCUCAUAUGUCCUUGAAAAUCCCUGCAUUCCUCUCUAACCUUUAUAAACCAUAUCAAGGAUAAUACAACCACCUGCGAAAGAAUCUUCCCUCUUGAAAGGCUUCCAAAGACCUUAAACAAUUUACUUAGUGUACUGACAUCCAAAGAGAAGUGAGAAAGCAAAAAUUUUCCCAAACAAUUUUUUUUUGAUAAAUAAAUAAUUAAAUUAAAGAAAAAGAGCUGCCAAAAGAAUGGCCCAAGGUGUACAAGAAAAUAAACCUCCCUUCGCCACCAAGGCUCAACCAAAAGAGUACAAAAAGAACCUCAACAAUCUCAACAAGUACCCAACCAUUCAAAAAAAACCUACUAAAGCUACAAACAACUUAGAUUCAGGCCACAAAAAACAAAUUCCCUUUUCAGCUUUUGAAUAGAAAAAACAUCAUUACAAAAAGCAAUGUUGUUCCUGGCCUUCUACACCAUCCAAAACAAACACAAAUGGCUUGCUUUUCCAAACCUUUUUUCUCUUUUUGCCUACAAAAGAACCAUGCCAAUCCAGCAAAGUAUCUUUAACUGAUGAAGAAAGCACCCAAGACACCCCAAAAAGUACAAAAAUCAGCCCCUAAACAAUUUAAUUGUUGGUUUUCUAAUAUCCUCAAAGACCCUGCAUUUCUUUUUUACCAAAUACCACAUAAGGCUUCCAAAAUAACCCUCCCCACAAAGCCCUCCUUCUGGGGCUUCUACCAAACCCCUGAAAAGAAAUGACCAUGUUUGGAGCCUGUAUUAGGUACUAAACUAUUCUCACAAAGGAUGCCCAAGAGUUUCUAAAUUAAUUAGUAGCUAAUUAUAGGAGUCCAAUCAUGUAGGUAAUAACAGUGCAAUUGGAUUAAGAUUGGGCAAGAGGCACCUAAGCAUAUUCUAACUGCAGAAAAUUCAAGCAGGGCAGGACCACAUGGAGUCAACCCUAAUACAUCUGUGAUCAUGUUCAUCUCAGGCUUGCCUGAGAACAACUUGGGCAAUAACCCAUUUAUUUUGGGCUUUGCAGGUCUUCGCCAGAUAUUGUCUACACUAUGUGCAACCUGCAUUCAGAAGCAUCUACAGUUUAAACUACCAGUAACCCAAAUAAUGUCUUUGUAACCAAAAAUAAAACAAAACAAAGAAUUUAAACUCAAUCUAAAACAUUACAGGAAAAAUUGAACAUAGAAACUAGAUCAAUUCUGACUUAUUACAUAUCCUACCUCAUUGCAUUACCUCAAGAACAAAAUACUCAGGAAAGUCAUGAAAGUCAUUUGGCCUGGCAAGGAAAGAACAGCAUAUAACUGAAUCUUGUAAAUACUACUUUACAAUAAACUCACAGAAUUCAAAUUAUUAGAAGCUGGGAAACUCACUUGGGGAGUCCAAUGUUUGCAUCGAAUCUCCGACUUUUAUAAAAUUUAACCAGAUGUAGUAAACCAGCCCAAUCAGUUUCCUGCCAAACAAUGCCAUCACGACCCACACAUCAAGAUCGAGGACUAGUACAAAUCCCAGAAGUAAACAACAGAUAAAGCAUUUUGAACCAAGCAACCAUACAAAGUAAACGAAACUGAAGAUGUUUUUGUAUUUAUUUUUUCCUCCUUUUUGGUGGAAGGUAGCAUGACAAUGCAUUAAUUAUCAUUUUGAAUUUCAUAAAAGAGAUGAACAAACAAAUAUUAUGGAUCAAAAUACGUACAGAUGUGUGUGUGUGUGUGUGAGAGAGAGAGAGAGAGAGCACCCUAACAUCUACAAAUUACUCUUCCAUGUUCCAGUCAAUGAGUUCAUUAGCGCAUAAGGAAAAUACUGUAAGUUCAAAAAGUAAAAUGUGUGAUCAACUUAAUGAAAAGGUGAGCGAUUAUAAUACCUCGGAUGCUGUAUUAGCCAAUGCAAAUGCUGCCUCAAUUCGGACUCUCCAAAAGGCCUUGAAAACAUAGAAGAAAUUUUAAAAUUGCAUUUCACUAAACACCAAUGCAUGGAAAGAAAUUGAACCUCUGAAAGUAUUAAAACCUUCGAAUCGCUGAGGAAAUUAUUCAGAGCAUUAACAACAGAAAAUGAAAGCUGAGGUAAUGCCUCCAGUGUUGCAAUUGCUUGUGCCUGAGCAACAACAUCCUUGUCCCUCUCUAAUUGAUUAAUCUGAUUAAGAAUUCCAAUUUUAUCAACAUCAUUAACAAAACUUUCAAAUUUGAUAGAAUGAAGUGAUUUAUAUAAAACAAUAGAUUCAACAGAAUCCAAUAUAAUGGCACAGUAUGAAUUAAAAAAACAUAUAAAAGGAAUUGGUGCAAAUCCUACAUUUUAGCAAGCAUCAUAUAUUAUUGCGAGUGCAACAAUCAAAUAUACCCUGAAUCCCUAAACAUUAUAAUACAUCAAUCCAUGUUAAAGGUACCUGAAGCAUCUAUGGUAUAUGCCAGAAUAUAGAAAUAGAACUGGUUAAUAUUAAUAAAAUAUAAAACUGGUUAAUAUUAAUAAAAUAUAAAAUAAAGAAUCCAAAGGACUUCCAUUUUUAACUGUCUAUUUUUGCCAUGCUUCAUUUAUAAAUAUAAUAAAACACAUCUCAAAGUUUCAGAGCUUUAAGAAACCUUUUAUCUCUUUUGUAUUAUUUGCUCAAGUUUGAAAAAAGAAUACACCUAUUUAAAUUUUAAAAUUCGAAUGAGACAAGUAGUUAAUGAAAUCUGCUAUAGUCAAUCUAAUUUUAAUCAGUAGAGGCUGGGCCAAGGCUCAUCCAAUGGCAGAACACAAAAGUAGUUAAUGAACUCUGCUAUAGGUAAUCUAAUUUUAACCUGUAAAGGCUGGGCCAAGGCUCAUCCAAUGGCCGAACACAAAAGUAGUUAAUGAAAUCUGCUAUAGGUAAUCUAAUUUUAAUCUGUACAGGGUGGGUCAAGGCUCAUCCAAUGGCAGAACACAACUUACCUCAGACAGCUAGGAGAUGAAAGAUGACUACCAGUAGAACAAGCAGGUUUUUGUUCUAACAUCCUCUGAGACAAAAAUCUUUCCUAACAAACACAUUCUCAAUUUUGUGUAUGAUAUUACAUAUUUUAUUUAUAUUGAUUGAAUAGAUGAUUGAACAGAACCCAUAUCUUUUUCUACUUUUUUCAUUAUUUAUUUCUGAAUCCACACUUUCUUAUCUAUGUACAUUAUCUCUAUGGGCCAAUCAACUUAAUCCAACUCAAUUUUUUUUUUCCCUCUUUUUUAUUUAUAUUUUUAUAAUUCAUUAAUGAACUAAUUGAAUUUUUUUAUUUUCUGCCAUAGUAUUUUUUUAAUCAAAAUUCACAUUCAUAUUGACAGCAAAUACAUUUUUUAUAGGUAAAGAUCAUUACAUAAAAGAAAUGCCAAAGAAGGCAGCCCAACCCCAAGUACACCAGAAGUAUAAUUUCAUUGUAGAUAAAAGGAUCUAUUUAUCUUUGUUGCAUAGGUUUGCAUUUUUUACUUCACCUUCAGAUGAUGGUUUUCUUGCAAUUGGAUUUACUAUGCUACAGGCAGUUUCUUUCAUAAGUUCUCAACCCCUUGGUUUCACCAUAAUAGAAUAUGUAAGUGGAGAACAGAAAUUCUUGAUGAAGUUACCAAUAGUAGUGAAUGCAGGGUCAAAAAAAUAUUCAGUGUAGUCCAUACUAUUGAAGUGGAGAGGGAUCAUUAGCAUAUAAACUUUGGUAGGUAUGACAUUUUAGCCCUUGAGGCUUGCCUCUGGCAAGGGGUUGGGAUGGGAUGAGUUAGGUUCUCAACUGCAGUUGGAAAAAUGUACCAUUAAACAUUGCAACCUGCUGCAUAAAGUUAGAACUAAACAAACGUUGUCCAAAUUAUGACUUUUAAGUGCUAGUGCUAUCUGUUAAAAUAGCAAAACCUGACAAUAUCAUCACAAAAAUAAAUACAAAGGAGUAAUAUAUAACACAGAAAAAAAUUAUAAUGAAAUUGAAAAAUGAAUAACAUGCAUUUCCAUGAAACCACAAUAGUUCCCAACUAAAUUCAUUCUUACCCACAUCUGUGCAGGUUGAUUAAAAUGAAUUUCAGCAAGAUACUCCAGUUCAGGGUCUACCCUAAGCCAUAACAAAGGGGAUUCGGUGCUGCAAAAGGAACAUAUUAACACUCAGAAAAAUUGACCGUGUUAUCUUUCAACUAGAAAAUGUGACAAAAGCCCAAAGAGGUAAUGACAUACUUGGAGCGCAUAUCCACAGCAGGUACAUCACCAUUAUCAUCGGAGCCAUCAGGUUUUGACCCCUUUUUAGGCUUCUGGAAGCGUCUAGCAGCAAGUUUUGAAUGGCACUGAAUUUCAAGAAGUUGCCAAGUUUCUCCAGCCAUUGGCAAAAUUGGAUGGUCAUACAUACCAUCAAGCUCAUGAACCCUGAUGCUCAUCAUUCCUGGCCAUCCAAUAUCAACUUCUCGAUUUUCAGAAUCAAUAUUGCCAUUAAGAACCAUUGUAUUUGUAUCUGGUGCGGCAGUGCAUCCCCGUAAUACCGCCAGUUCAACCAAAUUUUUUCGCUUGUUAUAGGAUAAACCCGCCCUUAAAAAUUUAAGGCCCAAAAAGGACAACAUUUGAAUAGACUAUAUCAGCAAAUAUUCCCCCAUGAAGAAAAAGAAAAGACAAUUUCUAGGUCACAUAAAUCAGACCUUAGUACAGGACACCCACAAGAUCCUACCCAGCGAGGAAAAAAUUCUUUAAGAAAUGGGCGCUCAAGAUUUCCAACCUUAUUGGCAAAAUGUCGGAACUGCACAUUUAUAGGAUUAAUUAAGGUAAAUAAGUAAAUAAAAUAAACAUAUUCUUCUAACACAAUAAUAAAAUCAUGAUGUAUUCAAAUUACACCAAAAAAGGAAUCCUAGUGAUCAUGGAAUUCAUAACAAUGAUAUAUUAACAUGAACACAGAUAAUACUAUACCAAAUGAAAUUGUUAGAGCACAAUACAUUAUGAGCCCAAAUCCUAACAACUUAAGCCCUUACGUAAAUUGGUUCUCUAAUAUGGUGUCAAAACUCUUAUUAACUAGAGGUUCUGAAUUCAAGUCCUCCCUUUGUUAUUUAUCUGUCUAACUAUGUGUGAUUACAAAAGGAAAAUAUGAUUUUUCUCAAGCCAAUACCAUCUAUAACUCCCACAACGAGUAUAAGGCUGCACAUGAGGGGGUUGUAAGAACAUAAUAUAUUUCGUGGACCCAAAUCCGAACAGUUUUAAGCUCUUAGGUAAAUUGGUUGUACAACAGAAAUCAUGACUGCCAGGGGUUGGGAUAAGAGCUAGGAAUAUGAGUAAAUGAAGAACAAAGGAGGCUGGACAAUAGCACAGGGUAGGUUCCACAAAUAUAAGCACCUAACAACAAAAAGGGGCACAACCCAUAGACACAUGAUAUAUGCAAGAAUGCAGAGUUUUCUAAUUUGUUUGUUAUAGCCCAUAUAUUAGGAUGCAGCUAACAACGAUUAAAUGAAAUGGACCAAAAGACAGAAUUUUCAACCCUCUUCAUGAUAGUAAACAAAAAGAAAUGACAGGAAGCAGCAAUAAGUACUUGCAUUUCUUUUCUCUCUCUUUUUUAUUUAGGUGCCUUUUUUCUUUUCUUUAUUUUUCCGCUUGUUUGAUGGAAAAAUAAGACUUUACAGAAGGAAAGCUCGAAAAGACGGUUCCUCAAAAUGCAGAAGAAAACAGAAAAGAGAUGUACUUAAAAAUAAGAAAAAUUAAAAAAUUAAAACACACAUACACACAUGCACCUAUUUCCUAAAAAAUGAGCCCAGGAAAAUAAAACAUAAACAAAAGAGGAGGGAAGGAGUUUGUAACAUACUUCUCUAGGGUUAGUGCUUCUCUCUUAGAAAAAGCAUUGGCUUCUGAUGUUGCAACUCCUGGACUACAAUGCACUGAACGCUUUUCACCUUCCAUUAGAAAGCAUCCAUAGAGGUGGAAAGCUGGAAGGAAGCUUCAAAAGUUCCCUGCUGAACCUUAGAGUGCUAUGAUUGGGGUUUGUCCCUAUUAAAGGUGUUGCCACAGAUAAUCAAAGGAGAAAUCCUUUGAAGAGAGCCCAGUUAACCACUCUAAUCAUUGGCGUUCCACAUCCUCACAGGACUAUGACAAAGAACCGGAAAAUCGAGUGUGGAAUUAGAUCUUGGGUAGGGAUACUUCCUAUCCAAGGCCAGGUCUUUCAUUGCCCUCGUACCAUUCUGUGGGUAAUUCUUGAACAGUAUACUAGUAUUCUUAUUCUCUUGACUUGAUAAGCGAAUAAUCAAAUGAAAGAUUCUAGAUCAGGCAGACUGGCCCUGGAAAGAAAGCCUUCACAUUCCAUCAACAAAGAAGAAUAUAGUUCCAAGGUCAACAAAGCAUAGCAUAGAGGCCAACCUUUAUUGAAGCAUAGGUAAUAGAACUUCCUCUCCACCUGAAGAAAUAUCUAAAUCACAUCAUAUUAAGUCGACUGACUCUUGAUUGAUUAACUAUUUAGUAGCUUCGCCUGUGUACCUUCCAUAUCUAACUAAGCCCAAGGAAGGUGGCAUCACUAAUGAUCCCUCAAUACUCCAACCACAGAUAGUUGUAGUUGUCAGACGGAGAAACUUUCAAAUCUAAGUUGCUUAUAUAGAGAACAAUAUGGUAAGGACGUUGAAGGUCUUUGUGGAGAGGAAGACCUUCUUGGUUAGGUUGGAAGGCGAGCAUGGUGGAAAUUGGUGCUUGAUUACAGAGCACAGUAGAGGCUCUGUUUUUGUCUUAGGUUUUGAAAAGGAUGCAGUCGGGUGGAUGAUCGAACAUUUGACGAAAGCCAUAGAAAUGAAGAGUCACUUCGGGUUCAACCGAAAGUUCAGGAGAAAAUUUUGUGUGAAUUUGAUGGAAGUUGGCUUCAACAACCACGAAAGGUUCAUAAGGAUCUCGGAGUUCGCUACCAACAGAAAAUCUACUUUUCUAGUUAUUCCUAAGGACGAGAAGGGCGGAUGGGAGAAUCUAAAAAGUGCGUUGUCUUCAAUGUUGGUGGUCCCCCCUUCAAAUGCAAUUGAAAAAGGAAGACAAUACAGAGGAAAAAGGUUUAUCCACAAUCACGUGGGUCCUCUGUACCGGUCCUUCGCGAAUGUAGUUAGCGAUGAAGGACCAAGGAGAGGUGGUCUCGUUCCUGUCGGGAGGUGGGCGCGAGCCGUGGUGUGUGAAUGCAAUGCUGAUAGCGUUAAAUGGGUUGAGGUUGGCCGAGCGGUGGCGAGAAGCUUAGGGAAGAAAGGAAUGGCAACGAUUGUACCCAUCUCAGGAGGAAAAAAAGUAUUUUUUGUUGAAACAAUAGAAAAAGUUCUCUUUCUCCAGGAUUUAAGGAUUCUUAGGGUUGAAGGAAGGAUUACAGUCCAAUUGAGAAGGUGGUCACCAAAGGAAAAUUCGAAAAUAGAGGGGAAGUUCAGAGGAGGCUAGAUCGAAUUACGAGAGUUGCCAUUUCAUCUAUGGUCUAAGGUUCACCUGAAGAAAAUUGUGGAGCAGUGGGGGAUGGUGACUAAAAUUGAUUGGCAAACGUUGAAACUAUUCGAUCUUAGUAAGGCAAGGGUAAGAAUUGCAAUGAAGGAUAGGUCAGUCCUUCUAGCUUUGAUCGAGGUGAUAGACGGGAAUUGGGUGUUUACAAUUUCUGUCGUAGUGCUCGGAGAUGAAGACGUUAAGAGAGGUAGAGUAAUGGGUGAGUCAACUCGGGAGGUUUGUGCAUCUCACUUGGGGACAGGUGGAGGAAGGCGGGGGGAGAGAGUCAGAUCAAUGACUGGGGGAAGAUGCCAUGUUGGGGAAGAUGGCAGAAUGAAGAAGGGAGGAGAAAGGGGUAUGGUUGUUGUUUUUCCAGUGGGGACACGUGGUAAGAGUGGUCAAGAUGAGGGGAACAGUUGGCUCCUAACCCCAUCGUUGCCCAGUUUGAAUUAAAAAAAAAAUGAACAAUGGGCCAAUUGGGUUUAAGGAGACGGGAGGAGUUAGGGUCAGUGGGGACGAGGUCUCCUCUGAUGAGGGAUGUCGGGCCACUGAGAGGAAGGCCCAGUCUUUGUCUAAGCCUAGUCCACUAAUUGUAAAAGUGGGCUGCAACAUAAAAGGCCCGUCGGGGUUGGGCCAAAGCAUAGGAGGUAAGAAGAUAGAUGACAAGAAGGUUUCGUUACGAAGGGAAGAAGAUUCUUCUGCAGUGGGAAAGGGGAAAGCUACAUCUAUAGUUCCUAAGGUUCAGUCGAAUAGCUCCAUGAAGAAGGAAGUGAAGUUUGGUUCAAAGAAGCUGUGGCCUACCCUUUUUCCUCUAAGUUCUGAUCGCUAACAAGGUCUUCGGUGUCGCAGUGAGCCUCUAUUGUACCGGAAGAAUUCGGCAAACAACAAAGAGUUUCCAAAAGAAGAGGCUUUCGGGGACGAAUCUCAGGCGGAACGAGGAUUUAGUGCAAGUCCUCUCACUUCUCGUCGAUCACCAAGGUUUCAUAAGAGAUGUUUGGGGGAAGGGGCUUCGUCGUCAAGAGGCGAAGUGGCUUUGUGCAAACUUUCCUUUGAUGAAGACAGAGAAGGAUUUUUGGGCUGAUGGGGUCCGACCUUUGUGGCUCAACAGUCACAGUUUUGCCCUUUACACUAGAAAUCAGAGGUAAAGGGCUUAGCUUUAUGGGGAAUUGUGGAUUGUUGGUAGCAGAAAACUUGGGAGGUAAACUCGUCUUCACCUACUCAGCCACCUUUGUCUUCUCUACCCCCUUCUUGUGGUUUGGCUUCUUCUUUUCUGUGUUCUUUUGUUCCCAAUCUUCCCAGUUCAGCCUUCCAAUCUCAGUUUCCUAUGGAAAAUCGAGUAAACUUUGAAUUUUUUUCCAAAAAAGACGACGUUGGUACUGUAGGUCAAAUUUUGUUGGCAUCCCUAAACUUGUUGUGGAGGAGAUUCAACCUGCUUAUCUAUACCAGAUGAUCGAGAGUUUUAACCCAAUUAUGUCUAAACCCAUUUUGCCUAAUAAGGUCUUCAACCUGGUUACAGUUAGCCAAGGUGUGACUACGGGCUCCCCAUCAGAUGAGUUCCAAAUAGAAGGCCUGUCCCCUGAGAAAAUCGCUAAAGUGCGUGAGGUCUUAAGUUCUCUGGAUAUUAAAGUAUAUUUCAGGAGGAAGAGUAGAUGCUCCACAAGUAUGUGAGACCUAUUGGAACUGGAUUGGAGGAUUAGGGUCUGUGUGGUUUUUCCAUGAAGAUAAUUAGUAGGAAUACCAAGGGUUUGGGUUCAAGGAAAAAGCGAAGGGUGGGUUAAGAUUUUCUGAGAUCAAAAAAUCUGGAUGUUGUGAUGAUUUAGGAAACAAAAAAGGCGGAGUGUGACAGAAGGUUUGUAGGUAGUGUUUGGACAGUCAGAAAUAAGGAAUGGGCAGCUCUUCCGGCAUGCGGGGCUUCGGGAGGGAUUUUGAUUAUUUGGGACUCCAAAAAACUACGCAGUGAGGAAGUGGUAAUAGGAUCCUUUUCGAUCUCAGUCAAGUUUGCUUUGGAUGGAUGCGGACCGUUAUGAUUGUCCGUAGUUUAUGGCCCAAACAGCCUAGUACUUGGGAAGGAUUUUUGGGUGGAGCUUUCAGACAUUUUUGGACUUUCUUUCCCAUGUUGGUGUGUGGGCGGCGAUUUUAAUGUCAUAAGGAGAAGUUCAGAAAAAUUAGGAAGUUCUAGUUUAACCCCAAGCAUGAGGGACUUUGAUGAUUUUAUAAGAGAAUAUGAAUGACUAGAUCCACCUUUACGGAGCACACCAUUCACUUGGUCAAACAUGCAAGAGUCUCCCGUGUGCAAGAGAUUGGAUCGAUUUCUUUACUCAAAUGAGUGGGAACAAUUAUUUCCUCAAAACCUUCAAGAAGUUCUUCCUAGAUGGACAUCGGAUCAUUGGUCGAUAGUCUUGGAAACCAAUCUAUUCAAGUGGGGCCCAACACCUUUUAAGUUUGAGAAUAUAUGGUUGCAACAUCCUAAUUUUAAGGAGAGCUUUAGAAGUUGAUGGAGAGAUUUUCAAGGAAAUGGGUGGGAAUGUCACAAGUUCAUGAGGAAAUUACAAUUUAUUAAGGCCAAAUUGAAAUAGUGGAAUAAGGCUUCUUUUGGAGAGCUAAACGAAAGGAAAAAAAGUAUCCUGUUCGAAUUAGCUAACUUUGAUUCCAUUGAGCAAGAAGGGGGUCUCACCUCUGAACUUUUAAUUUAGAGAGCUUUAAGAAAAUGAGAGUUAGAGGAAUUGAUUUUGAGGGAAGAAAUUCAUUGGAGACAAAAAGUUAGGGUGAAAUGGGUUAAGGAAAGGGAUUGUAACUCAAAAGUUUUUUCAUAAAGUGGCUAAUGGCGGGCGAAAUAAGAAAAAAAAAAGGUGUUGGAGAAUGAAAGAGGCCUAGUAUUGAAUAAUUCAGAGAGCAUCAAAGAGAAGAUUUUAAUGUAUUUUGAAAAGCUCUACUCGAGCCCUUCUAGAGAGUCUUGGAGAGUUGAAGGCUUAGAUUGGUCCCCUAUAUUUGGAGAAAGUGCGUCUAGGUUGGACUCCCCUUUUACUGAAGAAGAUAUUUUUAAGGCCAGUUGAAUAGGGAUAAGGCAUCGGGGCCUGAUGGUUUUACAAUUGCAGUGUUUCAAGAUUGUUGGGAUGUGAUCAAGGAGGAUCUAGUGAGAAUGUUUGCAAAGUUUCAUAGAAGCGGGAUUAUCAAUCAAAGCACUAAUGCCUCCUUCAUAGUUCUGUUACCCAAAAAAAGCAUGUAAAAAAAAAUCUCAGACUUUAGACCUAUUAGCUUGAUCACUAGUCUUUACAAGAUAAUAGUCAAAGUGUUAUCAGGGCGUCUAAGAGGGGUAUUACACGGAACUAUCCAUUCUACUCAAGGCGCUUUUGUUCAAAGGAGACAAAUUUUGGAUGCAGUUGUCAUAGCCAAUGAGAUAGUGGAUGAGAAAAGACAAUCAGGAGAGGAAGGAGUUGUCUUCAAAAUUGACUUUGAAAAGGCUUACAACCAUGUGAGUUAGGAUUUUUUGGAUCAUGUGUUGGAGAAGAAGGGGUUCAGUCCUAGAUUGAGGAAAUGGAUAAGAGGUUGUUUGUCCACGGUAUCUUUUGCAGUCUUAGUGAAUGGAAACGCUAAAGGGUGGGUCAAGGCAUCUAGAGGUUUAAGACAAUGAGACCCUUUAUCCCCUUUUUUGUUCACUUUAGUCGCAGAUGUACUGAGCAGGAUGUUAUUGAGAGCAGAAGAAAGAAAUGGCUUGGAGGGUUUCAGGGUGGGUAGGAACAGAACAAGGGUGUCCCAUUUGCAAUUUGCAGAUGAUACCAUUUUCUUUUCUAGCACUCGAGAGAAGGAUCUGCAGACCCUCAAGAGUGUAUUGCUAGUGUUUGGGCAUAUUUCUGGGUUGAAGGUUAACCUUGACAAAAGCAAUAUUUAUGGCAUUAAUCAUGAACAGAAUCAUCUUUCUAGGUUGGCCUAGCCGCUAGAUUGCAAGGCUUCUGUUUGGCCUAUACUCUACCUGGGUCUUCCUCUAGGAAGGAAUCCCAAGGCUUGUGGCUUUUGGGAUCCAGUGUUUGAGAGGAUCUCGAGAAGAUUAGAUGGGUGGCAAAAGGCGUAUUUAUCUUUUGGAGGCAGGAUAACUCUCAUUCAAUCUUGCCUUACCCAUAUGCCUUGCUACUUCCUCUCCUUGUUUAAGAUUCCCGCCUCAGUGGCAGCAAAAAUUGAGAGAUUACAAAGAGAUUUUUUAUGGUCGAGGGUUGGGGAAGGCAAAAAAGAUCAUCUUGUUAGUUGGGAUGUAGUGUGUAAUCUGAAGGCAAAAGAGGGAUUGGGAUUUAGGAAGAUUUCUAUAAGGAAUUUAGCUCUAUUAGGUAAAUGGUUGUGGAGGUACCCUAGAGAGGGGUUAGCUCUGUGGCAUCAGGUUAUUUUAAACAUUUAUGGAUCACACUCCAAUGGUUGAGAUGGCAACACUAUAGUCAGAUGGUCACAUCGUUGUCCUUGGAAGGCUAUUGCACAAGUCUCCCAGGAGUUUUACAAGUUUACUCGGUUUGUGGUAGGAGAUGGGAAAGAAUUCGGUUCUGGGAAGACUAGUGGUGGAGGGACCAGCCUUUGGGAGUCCAAUAUCCAAGACUAUUUAGAGUAGUCACGGAUAAGUAUAUUCCUAUUUCUUCAAUUCUCGGCUCUACUUGUCCCUUCUCUUGGAAAUUUAACUUUCGUCGUAACCUUUCCGAUUCUGAGAUAGGAGAUUUAGUUAGAAGGUCUCAUGCGGUCUCUUGAUCGUCUGCAUUUAUCUCCUUCGGUUUCAGAUAUGAGAUCCUGGUCCUUAUCUUCUUCAGGACUUUUUACAGUCAAAUCUUUCUUUCUUGCCUUAUCCCAAUUUUCUGGUUUUCCUUCAGUUUUCUCUUCUAAGUUUGUUUGGAAUUCUCAAGCCCUUUUCAAAGUCAAGUCUUUUGUCUGGUUAGUGGCACACAAGAAGGUAAAUACUAAUGACUUGCUACAGUCGAGAAGACCCUACAAAGCGUUUAGUCCUGAUAUUUGUAAGUUGUGCAUGAAGCAUGGAGAAUCAGUAGAUCAUCUUUUUCUACAUUGCUCUUUGACGAUGGGGUUAUGGCACAGAUUAUUUCAGUUAGCCAAGACGGAUUGGGUCCCCCUGAGGAGCAUCUCCGACAUGUUGUCCACCAAUUUUAACGGUUUUGGUUUUUCUAAGAGAGGGAUUGUUUUAUGGCAAGCUGUGUACAUCGCUCUAAUUUGGGUUGUGUGGCGGGAAAGAAAUGCAAGGAUUUUUUAGGAUAAAGUAAGGAAUUCAGAGAAUCUUUGGGAUUCUAUUCAUUUCCUUGCUUCUCUUUGGGCUUUUUGUUCCAAGGUUUUUAAGGGGACUCCCCUUAACGUGUUACAACUUGAUUGGUUAGCGGUGUGUAAUUCCAUUGGGUUGGUCUAACCUAGAGAGUUUGCUUGUUUUUACUUUGUAUUUUCUUGUAUUUGCUUCCUUGUAGUUUUGUUUUUCUUUGGUGGGAGGAUUCCUCAUCCUUCUCUUGUACUUCUUUUAAUAAAUAUAUCCCUUUGUCGUUUCCUAUCAAAAAAAAAAAAAAAAGUCUAAGUUGCUUAUGAUAGGUGGCAAGGCUUCUAAUUCUGGGAAGAAGAAGACUAAGCAGGGGACACUCUAGCCAAAAAAGAUAGGGAUAAAAGGAGACUCCUCAAAAUUCCAAGUCAAUUCCAAGUAGAAAUAUAGAGCAAAUCCACUCUAUAAUAGAGCAAAUGAAUUCAUUUUUUUCCUAAACAUAUUCUACAAUUUCUCUCAUUCCAUAGAAACCAAAUAAUUGUAGACACAGUCCUUUUCAUAACCUCUAGAAACUCCAAGACCUGGGCAAAAUCUAAGGAAGGGUGGAUCUUUUGAAUCUACCCAACUAAUUCCAGAAAACAUCAAAUAUCAAAAUGUAAACCCAAAUGAUGGUGGCUGGCACUUUUAAGAAUUGAGCUAAACAAUAAUGAGAGGAAAGAGUAUCAGCAGCCCCCUAAUCUAGUAUAUCAUAAUGUUUGAAGAAGUGUCUAUAAACUCCUUAGCAACAGAUGGCCAAAAGCAACAAGUGACAAGCCCUUUAACAGUUUCAUCAUUUUGCACAUAACGCACAUGCUUGAAGAAAUGCUUUAGGCCUCUUCCAGAGACAACCAAAAGUGUUCAUGCUCAUCAAUGCAAAAAUCUAAGCUAAGCUUCAAUCUCUGUGGAAGAUAUGGAUUCCAAAAUUAACUUGUGAGGGCAAGUAGGAAUAUAAAGAAACAACCACACAAGAAUGGAAGGAAUCUUCUGUUGGGAAAAAAAAAAGGCUUGGAAGGCUGCUCUGCUAUGCAUGUUUUGGACCAUAUGAAGGGAAAGAAAUAGGAGAGGAUUCGACAAUUGUGAAAAUUUGAACCAAACAAUUAGAAGUUCUUUCUUGAAUCUUUUUUGGGAGUGGGUAAGAUUGUAUAUAGGAGCGGCUCUUUAUCAUUGUUAAGAGUUUGUGGACUGGAUGGGCUCUUUGUAGGGCACAGUUUUUGGUUUUUGUGCUCCCGCAGUUUUUUUGGUUUUUAGGUUGCUUUGUAUACAUCAUGUAUACUUCUUUUUUCUCCAAUACACUUACUCUUACUUAUCAAAAAGGAAUAUCCAUAAGAAUAUCAAGCAGUAACUUAUGUUUGUUUCUAAUAAAAUAAUGUAAAGCAGUAAACCCAUAAUCCAAAAUCCUCUCUUGUCCAGAAUGAAAAGGAGAGGUAAAUGUCCUGAGAGGAAAAAUAUGACCUAUUAAACUACCAUUACAUCAAGAUUCAUAGGAGAAUGGAAGUAAAGAAUGGAAAUGGUAGGCCCACACACCAUAACUAGGAGACCUAGUUUGUAACUCAAGACCUGAAGGGACAUAAUUUGAGAUAUGCAACCUGAUUGCACUAUUUCCCACAUAUCUGAUCACUCUCUGAUUCUUCUUGAUGGGGGAGGGUUGAGGAGAAGGCCCACGCCAUUUAGAUUUGAGAAUAUAUGGCUGAAGGAGGAAGGCUUUAAAGAGGUGUUGAGAAAGUGGUGGGAAGGGAUUCAACUUAGUGGGUCAGCCAGCUUCAUUUUGACUGAAAAAUUGAAGGCAUUAAAACCAAUUCUGAGAAGUUGGAAUAAAGAGGUUUUUGGUCAAAUUGAUUCUAAGAAGCAAAGUGCUUGGAAUUUAAUGGAUUUCUGAGAUAAGGAAGAGAGUGUUCGCUCUUUGUCUUUGGAAAAAGAAGAAGCUAGGAAGGAGGUAAGAGAGAUAUAUAAAAAGUGGGUUCUUUUAGAAGAAGUGUCAUGGAGGCAGAAGUCUAGGUAAAUUUUGCUGAAAGAAGGGGAUAGAAACACAAGGUUUUUUCAUCAAAUGGCUAAUGUUCAUAGAAGAAGGAAUCAGAUGACUAGAGUAAAAGGGAAUGGGAGGUAGUUCACCGAGGAAAGUGAAAUCAAAGAGGAGGUGAGUAGAGCUUUCCAAGGUCUGUUGGCAGAUCCAGGUGAUUGGAAGCCCAGUAUAGAUGGUUUGAAUUUUGAGAGGCUGGAAGACUUGGAUGUGGAGGGGCUGGAGAAGCCUUUCUCGGAAGAGGAGGUUUAUGAUCUGCUGUCAAGUUUUUAUAGAGAAAAAGUGUCAGGCCCUGACGGUUUCUCAAUGGCAUUUUGGCAGUUUUCUUGGGAUUUUGUAAAAGAGGAGGUACUAAACUUCUUCAGAUAGUUCCAUGAGACAAGGAGUUUUGUCAGAAGUCUGAAUGCAACCUUUCUAGUGUUGAUUCCUAAGAAAGGGGGGGCUAAGGACUUGAAGGAUUUUAGGUCAAUUAGCUUGGUGAGAGGGUUGUACAAGUGGUUAGCUAAGGUGCUGGCUAACAGAAUGAAGGGAGUAUUAGCUAAGGUGAUCUCAACGUCUCAAAAUGCUUUUGUGGAGGGGCAGCAAAUUAUGGAUGCAGUGUUGAUUGCUAAUGAAGCAAUAGAAGGGCGAUUCUCUGCAAAUUAGACAUUGAGAAAGCCUAUGACACGUUGACUGGUCAUUUCUUUUAGCGGUGUUGGAGAAGAUGGAGUUUGAGAAAAGGUGGUGUAGAUGGAUAAAGUUGUGUUUAUCCACUGUUGGUUUUCAGUUAUGGUGAAUGGAAGCCCUACUGGAUUUUUCCAGAGCUCAAGGGGUUUAAGACAAGGAGACCCCCCUUUCACCUUACUUAUUCGUAGUUGUGAUGGAGGCUUUUAGUUAUAUGCUAAAGAGAGUAGUUUUAGGAGGUUUUUUGUCUCCUUGUUCGAUUUGGGGAAGAAGGGGUGAAGGGGUUUAGGUCUCUCAUUUGUUGUUUGCUAAUGACACGUUGAUUUUUUGUGAGGCAAAGGAGGAGUAGUUAGCGUAUUUGUGCUGGUUGUUAAUGUGGUUUGAGGCAAUCUCAAGGUUAAAAGCGAAUAUGGAAAAAAAUGAACUGAUUCCGGUUGGUAAAGUUGAGAAUGUGGAAGAGUUGGCUAAUGAGUUCGGUUAUAAGGUGGGAAAAUUGCCCUCCACCUAUUUAGGAAUGUCGUUGGGUGCUACUUUUAAAUCCGUUGCCGCUUGGGAUAGAAUAGAAAAAAGGUUCCGAAAGAGAUUGGCUAUGUGGAAACGUCAAUCCAUCUCAAAAGGGGGGAGGGUUACCUUAAUUCGAAGUACCUUGUCCAAUUUGCCGAUCUAUUUUAUGUCUAUUUUCCAGCUGCCUAGGGUGGUUAGAAUGAGAUUGAAGCAGAUUCAAAGGGAUUUUCUAUGGGGUGGUGGGGCUCUUAAGCAAAAACCGCACUUAGUAAGGUGGCCGAUUGUGUGUGUAAACAAAAGAAAAGGAGGGUUGGGGGUCAAGAGUCUUGGGACUUUCAAUAAGGCUCUCCUUGGCAAGUGGGCUUGGCACUUUGCAAAUGAAAGAAAGGCCCUUUGGAAUCAAGUGAUUAGAAGGAAAUACGAGGAGGAAAGAGGAGUGUGGAGAUCUUGUGAGGCUAGAGAGGCCUAUGGAGUUGGGUUGUGGAAAGCAAUAAGUAAGAUGGGACAAACUAGUAACCCCUUCUUUUGGCUUUGUGGUGGGUGAUGGUAAGAAGGUGAGGUUUUGGAAAGACAAGUGGUGUGGAACCACCCCUUUGUGCGAGGUUUUCCCUUCAUUAUUUGCUCUAGCAACUUCCAAAGAGGCGUGGGUAAAUGAAGUUUGGACAGCCGAGGGGGAAAGGGGGGGAAGUCGGACUCCUCAUUUCAAUAGACCUUUCAAUGAUUGGGAGUUGGAAGAAGUGGAAAGGUUGCUUUGUUGCUUGGAUGGGAAGAAGGUCAGGGUGGAUGAGGAGGAUAGGGUGAGGUGGAUGGACUCAAAGGAUGGGGUUUUUUCGGUAAAAUCUUUGUAUAGGGCUUUGCAGCCGGUGUCUCUUACUUUUUUCCCUUUGAAGAUUAUUUGGAACUCUUGUGUGCAGCCCAAAUUAAGCUUCUUUGCGUGGGAGGCUUCGUGGGAAAGAGUUCUAACCUUGGACCGUUUGCAAAAGAGGGGUUGUGCAUUGGCAAAUAGAUGCUUUCUGUGUCAAACAAGUGAGGAGUCGAUCGACCACCUCCUCCUUCAUUGUGAAAAGACAAGGGAAGUGUGGAUGUUGUUCCUUUCUUUUUUUGGAGUAUCUUGGGUUUUCCCUUUUUCGGUAAAGGAAACCCUUUUAGGAUGGAGGGGCUCUUUUGUGGGUAAGAAGAGGAAGGUGGCGUGGCAAGUGAGACCGUUAUGCUUGGUUUGGGUCAUUUGGAACUAGGAAUACAAUUGCUUUUGAGGAUUGUGUGCUGUCCAUUCAAAGGCAGAAGCUUCUUUUGUGUAUUUACUUUGGUCGGAAACCAAAUUGUGAAUAAAAGAUAGUCCUUCAACCUUAAUAGAUUUUAUAGAUUGGGUGUGUUUGCAAUGAGGGAGAAGGUUUUUUGUUUUUUCCUUGUUGUUUGGGUCCUUUUGUAAGGGGGUGAGUUUUUCUAUACUGUAUUUCUGUGGGUCGCUAUUUUAGCGCCUCUUUGCAAUACAUUUUUCUGCUUAUUGAUCAAAAAAAAAUUUCCCACUGCAAACCAUCCCAAGCACACACACAGAGAGCAUCUUAUAUGUGAGAAGAAAGAAGGAAUUGACUAAUCAUAUGUUGUCACUUCUCAGGACAUUCCAAAACAUCAUGAAGCAGUUAUACUGCCAGCUUAUUCUAAGUCAGUGGGGCUUGGUAAUGUGAUCUUGCUCUUAGAGAAGGUAAUUUCCUGGAAUUAGAAUAGAUCAAACAAGUGGACCCGAACCUUGAGGUACUAACUACACCUGGCACAACCAGUACUAAGUAAUCCAGGGCAUUCAACCAGUGGCAGAAAUCAAACCCAAGCAAAGGUAAUUCUCAUUCUUAAGGAAUGGGGAAAAAGAAGGGGGGGGGGGGGGGGGCGGGGUGGUAAAAAAAAAAAAGGAAAAAAAAAAAACCCUUUUUCACCCCCUUAUUUAUUUUUUUACAAAAAAAUCUGAAUUUUUUAAAAAAAAAAUUUGAAGGGUUAAUUCAAAAAUUUGCUUAAACCCCCAAAAAAUUUCGGGGAACAAAAAACUAAACUAAAAAUGAAGGGCAACAAAACCCCCAAGGCCGGAAAAAAACCAAAUUUUAAAAAAUAAACCUCAUAUCUUUUUUUACCUUUAAUUAGGAACAAAAAUUCCAUAUUCUUUCAAAGGGAUGCUUUUCCGGAAAAAAAAUUUUUUUUCCCAAGCAAAAAUGCCCCCAAACCAAAAANNNNNNNNNNNNNNNNNNNNNNNNNNNNNNNNNNNNNNNNNNNNNNNNNNNNNNNNNNNNNNNNNNNNNNNNNNNNNNNNNNNNNNNNNNNNNNNNNNNNUGGCAACUAAAUACUAAACUAGAAAUGAAGGUCAACAUAACCCCCAAUGCUGAUAAUAACCAAAUAUUAGAAUAUAAACAUCAUAUCAUUUUUUACCUUUAAUUAGGAACAGAAAUUCCAUAUUCAUUCAGAGGGAUGCAUUUCCUGAGAUAAGAUUUUUGUUCCCAAGCAUAAAUGCCAGCAAACCAAAUAUGCUCUUGGGAACAUAUUCUCUGAACCUAAACAUACCAAAGAGCUAUCCGUACACUAAAAUGGUUGUUGAAAGGUCGUUCAGUUAUUUUAUUCAUCACAAAAUACCCACAUGGUACAUACAAUUAAAUAUGAAAAGCAACUUCAGAAUAUAUCAAUGUAGCAGACAAUUUAAAAUGAGAAUAAAACUAAUCGAUGAUAAAGAAAAUAAGACAAUUUUUAUUAAAAAAAGUUGAAAUGACAAAACACACACACACAAAUAACAUCAUACUACAGUAAAGAGUAAUCACCUCCUUCGUACUAAGAGUUCUCAAAGAACGAGUUGUAUCUUGAGCCCGAAAAACUAUAGUCUGCAAAAUCUGUUCAUCGAACAUGAUAAAACCAUAACAAAUGCAAAUCAGUAUUCCACAGGAUGAACAAGUACAAAUUAAGGAAACACAACCUGCGAUUUGAUGUCUGUGGCAUACUUCACAACAAAGAGCUCUCAACAAAAAUUUUUAAUAAAAAAAUUCAAAGAAUGGAAAAAGGGAAUAGAAAAACCUGAAGAACAGAAAGAUGUCAUCUAAGAAAAAAGAUAGGGAAAAAAAAAACCUAAAUAACAGGCCACAACUUGCAGGCUGACAAAGAAAACGAAGAGAAUAAGCUCAUUUAAGACACAAAGUUCCCAACAUAGAAAUCCAAAGCGGUGGAACCAUUUUAGCCAAGAAUUUCAAAUCAACCAAUCUAUGAAUCUACAGCAAGGAAACAACUCAAACUAUACUACUUGAUAAAGUGCAAAGCCCCUUAGGUCUUUUGUAAAAGGUUCAAGAAAUUAAUUAAACAGUACACAACAGAAGAAAACCAGUGCAAACAGAAACCAAACAAAAAAUACCUUCAUUCCUCACCCAUCAGCAUAGUGAUAAAUAUAGAAAUAAUAAAUAAGUUGCUAAGACCUUUACCUUACGGAAGGACUCGGGGCCCAUCUGUUUUUCCAACAUUUGAAGGAUUGCAACCUUUUAGAGAACACAACAAACAAUCAAAAAAGGAAUACGAUAAGAAACUAACCAAAAACAAUUACUAAGUACAGAAAAAACUUACAGACUUCCAUGAUCUUAUUUUUCCAUAUAAGCCAAUGCACUGGGUUCCAUAUAAAUCCUUACAAGAAGCAGAAGAGCUCAAAGCAGUUGCGCCACUAUCAUCUGCUUUGCAAACAGCACAAUUUGCCUGCACUUUGAAGACGUAAAAUUGCAUGAAUUUGCUUUAAAUACAUGAAAAUUCGACUCUUAUUAUCAGCAUUUGCAAGAGAAGACAAAGGAUAGUAACUUCUGAAUGGAUUACAGUGAAAGUAAAUAGAACUUAAAAAGCAAGCUCCUAAGUGCAGAACUAAAAUACUAGGAAACAUCCAGAAUUCCAGGUAAAAUAAGAUGCCACAGGUAAAAUAAGAAUGUUAUAAUUUAAAAUUGUUAAAAUCAGUAAAUCAAAUUCUACUAGACUUUUCGGCUUAUUAUGUAAAGUUAUAACUCAAUUCUACUUUCAUAGUGUAUUUACCAUUCUUUUCUUUUCUUUUCUUUUUUAUUUUAUAUAGGCAAAUAGAUCAACAUUGAAAAGCACAUCACAGAAAAAGAUUGGGCACACACACAAACACGGGGCAGUUCUAUUUUCAUAGUUAUUCAGGUAUUUUCAAUAUUCAUGGUUGACAGGCCAAGGAGAGAAUUUUGUGGCUAUUACCAUUUUAAAAAACAAAAAUAAAAAUAAAUAAAUAAAUAAGAUGGCAUCAUGCACAUCAAUCCUCACACCAUUUGAAUCCAAAACUAAAGAACUUGUUUGGCAACAUUUGUGAAAACAGUUCUCAAAAAACAAUUUUUGUGAACAGUUCUUGAUUAUUUUCAAGAACAAAAUUCUAUUUGGGUACUCCAAUAUGAAAAACAGUUUUCCCAACUUAUUCUCCAUGAGAGUAGUAUGCAUUUAUGUAUAAUGCAAAAGUUCCUAAAGUAUUCUCAAUAGUUUCAAGUGUUACUAAGAAUACUCUAUAAAUAACAGCUGAAAACACCUCAAAUUUGUUCUAAAAAACAGUCAAUUUUCACAACAAAUUCUCAAAAAAAAAUAUUUCUAUCAAAAAAAUUGUCAAACAUGUUUUCCAAGUUAGAACAUGGUUUUUUGCUAUAAAGAACAAAAAAACUGUUUUUAAGAACAGUUUCCAACAAACCCUAAGGAUUCAACUCUCUAAGUAUCAAUAUCACCAAUAUCAAUGCAAAUUAAUAACAGCAUAUUCCAUUUUUUUCAAAUUAUUAAAGAUGUUAACAAGUAUUAGUCUUAGCAUCAAACUAUUCCAGCAAGGUGUGAAUUAAAAUGCUCAUUCUAAAGUCAGUUUCUUUAUUUAGAAAGUUGUGUAGGUGAAGAUUCUUAUUGUCUGCAAUUUAUGAGAAGAGGUAGUAUCCUUGUGUUGUCUGUGUUGCUUGUGCAAACAAAAGGACAAAUUGGCUAACCCAUACUCUUACUCAUUGUGAUUGUGCACAUAGCUUAUGAUCUCCAUUGUUUGCCAUCUUUGGAGUUGCUUGGGUUUGGCCUUUCUUAGUCAAGAACAUGCUCAUUACCGGCAUAAUAAGUUCAUGGGCAAGAGGAGGAUGGAGAGAAUGCCCCUUUGUGCUUAUUCUUGCCUCUAAACAGAGCACAUCAAAGAAAUUUUGGAGUGUCGGGAUCAGGUUCUGAAACAUUAUUUCCCUGAAUUCCUAUUUCUUUGCUCAAGGAAUUCCUAAGGUGUUAGGAAGCUGUCUUUCUUAGACAUUGUUUAUGAAAUGGGGAUGGUUUAAAGCCUUCUUAGCAACCAUAGUUCCAUUUUAUUCUUUCCUUUUGUUUCUUAGUGUUCAUUGCUUGCUUUUCAACUACCCAAGUUGUCCUAGUUCAACCCAAGUUGCAUGCCUACCUCACAUGGUUUCAGUCCCCUUGUACUGUUUCUCUUCCUCUGAUAAUAUUCUUUUUCUUAUUAAAAAGCAUCAAAAAGGAUGAGGGAAGGAGGAAUAGGCAAUGAACCUAAUGGCGGAAAGCCUUUUAAAGACUAUUCAAGGAAGAUGGAAGACCUAAGUAAACUUUAAGUAUAAUUAAUAUUAAUUAGAAUUGAAUUAGGAUUACUAUUUGUUGGAGUCAAAUUAGGAUUAGCUAAUUAAAUUAUAAUAUAAUUAGAAUUUGAGUCAUAAUAGGUUAUUAGAGUCCUAGUAGACUUUGGAUGUUAUAAUUAGGAUUAGAUUCAUAAUAGGUUAUUAGAAUCCUAAUAGACCUUGGAUUGCUUAGAGAAGCCUAUAAAUGGGCUGAUUGAUGUAAAUCAAAGAAAUGAAUUGAUUGAUAUUAAUAAUAUUAUGUUUUUCUUCAUUGCAAGUGUUGCAAUCCUCAAUGGUGAGAUUCCAUUGAUUUUCUUCUAAGUGAGACUCCUAGAAGGUCUUAGUGAGACUCUAAGGUUCUCAUUUUUUCUUCAUCGUUUCUUCUCUCUCUAUUUUUUUUUUUUUUUUUUUUUCUACCAUAAACUUUAUUCCUUAUUCCUCUCCUUAUACUCUAAAAUCAAAACCCUAGCCCACCUACUUUGAGUGUAGGCAACCAUCUUAGGGUUGUCCUACAUCAAUUCCUUCUCCGAUGUUAUCACUCCUCUCUUAGCCAAGAAACCCACUUCCAUAUCAACAACAUUAAACAUCUAAGAAACUAUGCACUAAGGAUUAAUAAAAGUCCUUUACAUCCUUCAAACUGUAGGCAUAUCUCCAAGAUCCACAUGCUCUACUGCAAACCCACCUGAAAAUGGUGGAAAAAUUCUUAUUUAACAAUGAUUUCUAUAAUGGUAAUUUUGGACAAAUUGGAGGCAUUCCUGAAGGCCUUAAAGAAGAGCUAUAAUUUCCACAUCUAAGAAGUCCAACCAAUACAAUUUUAAAUAGAAAGUCAACUCAUUGAAGCUCAAGUUAUCUUAAGCAGCUAGAGGGGAAUCCACUUAAAGCAUAUUCAAUAGUGAAAGCACAAAGCCUGUUUAUUACCUCUAAUCCCAAAAAAAAUUUAAAAAAAAAAAAAAAAAAAGCCAAAGAGUAUAGAGCCAAUCAAAGCCCUAGUCAAUGCUAGGAUGGCAAUUCUAUCCCACAUAUGAUUUUUUUUCUUUUUGAUAUAUUUUUUCUUUUUUUAAUUUUAUGAUAGGCAAAGAUCAAUUAUAUCAACAUUGCCUAACAAAAGGGUAUACAAAGGCAUAUACUGUAAAUACAAGGAUGCUAAAAGCCAAAAUGAAUCUCUAGCUUUGCUUAGAUUUAACCAGUUAACAAAGUCCAUCAUGGAGAAACAACUAUCUCCUGUGUACACUCUAACCCACUCCAAAAUGUUAUAUAUAAUUAUUUGAUUGUUUGAUCCACUUUUUCAAAAUUAUCAAAUGCUCUCAUAUUUCUCUCCCUCCAUAUGAUUUAAAAUAAGCACAAAGAAGCAACUCUCCAAGUUUUCUUCUUCGUUCCAAAAAAGGAUCCAUGUCAAUUGAGGAAUGUAUCACCCAAUCUAUUCCAAAUAAAGCAUGAAUCAGUUGUAAUAGGAUGACUACGUUCUAACAGUGAAGAAGGAUGUGAUCAACAGUUUGUUCUUCUCCUUUGCAAAGAUAGCAUUUGUUCAAAAUCCUCUAACCCCUCCUUUUGAGUUGAUCCAAAGUCAAUAUCCUUCGUUGAAUAGUUUCUCAGGUGACAGUAUCCAAUAAUUCCAAUCAAUACUAGAAGGGAAUGUCUCCAUUCUUAAAUUUGAUACAGAGGAUAAAGAAAUUUAACUAAAAAAAAUGUCUUUCCUUGAAUUCAACCAAACCAUUUUAUCAUUUAUAUCCCUAUAAAUUGUUUGUGCUAACAGCUUUUAAGAAAGGCCUUCAUGCCAUCUAUCUCCCAGUAAUGAAUCUAUCUUACAAACCUCGAGUUCUAAUAAUCUCCCAUGCCAUCCUGCUCCCAUACAUCAACUAACCAUGCAUCUUUACCCGUGGCUAAUAAGAAUAAUUCUGAAAAAACUUCGUCUAGGAACAAGUCACCAGCCCACCUAUCCUUGCAUAAUUUCACAUUCCACCCACCACCUACAUUAAAACUAGUUUGAUUGUUAAAGGUCUCCCACCAGCUUACACACCCACCCCAUACCCUUCCCCCACUUCUUGAGAGCACCACCUCCCCAUACUUCCCUACCAUAGUUUUAAAAGGCUCAAGGCGCACCAAGGCACAAAGUAGUCCUGGAGCCUGAGGCGCAGGUUUUAGUGAAGUGAGGCACACCCUAAUUUACAUAUAUUUUUCCUCCUCUUCUUCGCCUUCUUCACUUCUCCAUUGCACAGCUGAGGCUAGGGCAAAAUUUGGGAGAGUUGUCGGGUUGAAAGCAACCAGAAAAGGGGGCUGGAAGGGAAAACAGGGCCAAAACAUCAUUGUUUUGGCCUGUUUUUUAUUUUAAAGGAACAGGCUCCAAAACAGCAUUGUUUUGGCUUGCUCUUUUUAAAAUAAAAAGGGCUAAAACGAAAUCAUUUUGACCCAUUUUUAAAAAGGUCUAAAACGACGUCGUUUUGGUCCCAAAAAAUCAAAAAAAAAAAAAAAUUAAGGUUUCUCUCUGCCCUUUGCAACCUGACACCGGAGAAGAAGAAAAAAAAAAAAAAAAAAAGGAGAAGGAGAAGGUAGGGGAUCAAGGCACACCUGUGGACCGCAUCACGCCUUGCACGCCUAAGCGGCGCCUUCAUGAAGGGGUGUCGCCUACCUUCAGGCAAGGCGUCGAAGGAUGGCGUCAUGCCGCCUGGAGCCUAGGCACGCCUUUCACAACUAUGUUCCCUACAAAUAACAAUCACCUACUUCUAAAGAGAUUGUCUUUCCAUAGCGAACCUUCAACACCAUUUGUCCAAAAGAGCUUGUUAAUGAUGGAUAGAUUUCUAACACCCAACACUAUUUUCUUUCUCAUGCAAACCAUCAACCAAUUCACCAAAUGUGGUUUUCUCACGAUAAACUCUCCCACCAAAAGAGAUCACUUUGGAUCCUUUUUAGCUUUAACCUCACCAUUUUUAAGAUGACAAAUAAAGACAUGAAGUAAAUUCAAGUGUUGGACAGAGUAUUCUUUAUUAGAGCUAUUCUUCCUCUUUUUGAUAGGGUAUUGCUUCUUCCACAUAGAUAGUUGCUUCUAAAAUUUUUCGUCUAUCACAUCCCAAACCCAUGACACACUGAAUGGACCUACCUACAUUGUAGCACCCUAGGUAGUUCCUCCAAGUUAGCAACUAUCCUAACAAGGAUCAACUCACCUUUUUUCAGAUUCAUUUUUAACUUAAGAUUGCCCUAAAUUACGUGAACGUUUAGUUCAAAUGUUCCAUAUGCUCCUUAGUAGCAUCGUAGAGAAUAAGAGUGUCAUUAGCAAAUAACAUAUGGGAUACUUUCAAUCCCUCAUCUCCUCUUCCACUAACUAAGAACCCUUCUAUGAAACCCCCUUCCUUAACUUUUUUCAGAAUGUGAGAGAGGGACUCCAUGGCCAUGAUAAAGCAAUAUGGGAACAAAGUGUCACUGUGUCUCAAGCCUCUUAAACUUAGGAAAAAGCAUGUUAGAGUCUCAUUAACCAAUAUGGACAAGUGAGUCAUAGAGUUACACCACUUAAUCCAUCUCAUCCAUCUAGGACCAAUUCUUUUUUUUUCCAAGAUCACUAACAAAAAGCCCUAAGUUGGCAUGAUCAUAUGCCUUCUAAAUGUCUAAUUUACAUGUGACCCCAUUGACGGUGUUUUUCAACCUUAAGUUGAUGACUUCAUUAGUUAUGGGGACCACAUCCAAAAUUUGUCUCCCCUCCACAAACGCAUACUAAAAGUCCAAAAUCAUUUUUUUCACCACCGCCAAAUUGACUGGCCGAAAUCUUACAAAUCUUCUGCACCCCACUUUGUUUAGACAAAGACUAUCAAAAUGGCCUCUUAGUUCAUAGAAAUUUGCAAAAGAAGAAAGGGAAAAACACAAACAAACAAAACUUAUCAACUCACCUCACUUUUCACAAAAUCCCAACAAAACUACCAAGGUUAUGGAGAAGUUUUUCAGCCUAGGGGCUUUAUCCCCACAUAAAUUGAAAAAGGCUAAUAAAACCUUCUCCUCAAAACAGUGUCUCCAAGGAUCCUAAUUCUCUCUACACAAAGUUUCCAAACCCUUCCACCAGGGCUCAUAAGAUCCAACUCUAAAGAAUGGAUAAAGGGCUCUCUAGUUACAAAAGAGGCCCACAUCUGCUACAAAUCAUCCACUGGGCUAGCUCCAUUUAAAAUAUUAAGGCCACUAUUUUUUGGCUUAAUGGCUCUCACUACCCAGACUUGCACAAAGCCUACCCUAUUAUCUUAGGCCUUAAUUGGCAAAAUAAGGCCUUUUUGGCCUUCUUCACUUUUCUCGACCACCUCCUCAUUCUUAAGCCCAAUACAACAGCAUUUUGUCUUGCCACUCCAUACUCAACCUUUUUGCUUUUGUCCUAUUACACAUGAAUCGAACCCUCAACCACCCCCAUUUCUCAUCCCAUCCCAACCCAUUACUACUUGAGCUAGGCUUCAACGGCACAUCAUUGACUACUUUCCCCACAAAUGUAGAAUAGAAAGCUUUCUUAGAUCUCCUAGAUUAAAACAAGUUUUUCAAGUCCAUUUAGCAAUAGACUAGCUCGUCUGACUAUUUUCCUCACAAAGGACACAAAUACAAAAUAGAAAGCAUUCUUUCUUGGGUCUCCUAGGAAACAAGUUUUUCAAUUCCAUAUAGCAAUGGAUUAGAUGGUUUCAAAUGCUCCUCAUUCAUAUCACUACAGUUUUUUUUUUUUUUUUUUUUUAAUACAUACGGACAACUUAUUUUUUGUAAGAAGUUUCUUAAGUUGUGUUUGGUUCCUUCUAUUGGGCAUUCACCAACGUAGCUUUUAUUCUUAGAUAGUCACUAAGGUAUGUUUCAUUGGUGACCAUUGCCAUAACAAAGAUUUCAAAAAAUAUGAAGUACACAAGAUAUGCAAACAGGUACCUAUUCAACAAGAAUAACCAAACAAACUCAAUCUAACCAGGAGCUUGGUUUGAGCAAACCUCAAACCACAGAUAGGGUAGGGGUAGGGCUGUCAGCAGCCUAUGCAACUCCUAGUGAUGGGCUUAGACUGGCCUCUAAACCAUCCAUCCUGUUUAAGGAAUUGCUCUAAGCAGAGCACCACAAACACAAUAAGCGGGAAAGGUUUGUUUAAGCUACAUCCAAAAUUGCACUUGGUGAUGUGAUUAAAUUCACUAAUGUUAUAUAAGUCAAUCAAAAGACAACUUAUAUAAGGUAAACCAAAUGUGAAAGCCCCCAUAAGAAAGCAAACCUUGUAUCUCCGGUAGCGUGCCUCAUUAUUUCCCAGAAAUCGCUUAACAAAUGAAUCAGUCAGAAAACCAGCAAGACCAUCCAACAACCACUCUGC
RNAcentral lists this long non-coding RNA (44346 nucleotides) under Vitis vinifera (wine grape). Its description in RNAcentral is "long non-coding RNA (VVIN_LNC005672)". The record is from RNAcentral. Lineage: Eukaryota; Viridiplantae; Streptophyta; Magnoliopsida; Vitales; Vitaceae.